UUAACUAUUAUAUAGUACUCAGACGACAUAGAUAAUAAGAGUUUUGGGUCCUCUGGCAGGCACGGACUAGCCGAAGCCAGCGGUCCGAAGACGGGCCUGCCAAAGCAACAAAGGUAAUGUAAACAAAGGGUGGGAGAUUAGCCCGAAGGCAGUUCUCUUUAGUGAUCCUUCCGCAGGUUCACCUACGGAAA
RNAcentral lists this unclassified non-coding RNA (191 nucleotides) under uncultured fungus. RNAcentral describes it as "sequence contains ITS1". The record is from RNAcentral. Lineage: Eukaryota; Fungi.